This 1848-nucleotide ribosomal RNA is filed under the name Escherichia coli. RNAcentral describes it as "partial 23S ribosomal RNA". It matches the Rfam family "Bacterial large subunit ribosomal RNA", at positions 711 to 2542 of the family's 2925-position model. The record is from RNAcentral. Lineage: Bacteria; Pseudomonadati; Pseudomonadota; Gammaproteobacteria; Enterobacterales; Enterobacteriaceae. RNAcentral also lists the same sequence under 1 other name.
AGACCCGAAACCCGGUGAUCUAGCCAUGGGCAGGUUGAAGGUUGGGUAACACUAACUGGAGGACCGAACCGACUAAUGUUGAAAAAUUAGCGGAUGACUUGUGGCUGGGGGUGAAAGGCCAAUCAAACCGGGAGAUAGCUGGUUCUCCCCGAAAGCUAUUUAGGUAGCGCCUCGUGAAUUCAUCUCCGGGGGUAGAGCACUGUUUCGGCAAGGGGGUCAUCCCGACUUACCAACCCGAUGCAAACUGCGAAUACCGGAGAAUGUUAUCACGGGAGACACACGGCGGGUGCUAACGUCCGUCGUGAAGAGGGAAACAACCCAGACCGCCAGCUAAGGUCCCAAAGUCAUGGUUAAGUGGGAAACGAUGUGGGAAGGCCCAGACAGCCAGGAUGUUGGCUUAGAAGCAGCCAUCAUUUAAAGAAAGCGUAAUAGCUCACUGGUCGAGUCGGCCUGCGCGGAAGAUGUAACGGGGCUAAACCAUGCACCGAAGCUGCGGCAGCGACACUGUGUGUUGUUGGGUAGGGGAGCGUUCUGUAAGCCUGUGAAGGUGUGCUGUGAGGCAUGCUGGAGGUAUCAGAAGUGCGAAUGCUGACAUAAGUAACGAUAAAGCGGGUGAAAAGCCCGCUCGCCGGAAGACCAAGGGUUCCUGUCCAACGUUAAUCGGGGCAGGGUGAGUCGACCCCUAAGGCGAGGCCGAAAGGCGUAGUCGAUGGGAAACAGGUUAAUAUUCCUGUACUUGGUGUUACUGCGAAGGGGGGACGGAGAAGGCUAUGUUGGCCGGGCGACGGUUGUCCCGGUUUAAGCGUGUAGGCUGGUUUUCCAGGCAAAUCCGGAAAAUCAAGGCUGAGGCGUGAUGACGAGGCACUACGGUGCUGAAGCAACAAAUGCCCUGCUUCCAGGAAAAGCCUCUAAGCAUCAGGUAACAUCAAAUCGUACCCCAAACCGACACAGGUGGUCAGGUAGAGAAUACCAAGGCGCUUGAGAGAACUCGGGUGAAGGAACUAGGCAAAAUGGUGCCGUAACUUCGGGAGAAGGCACGCUGAUAUGUAGGUGAAGUCCCUCGCGGAUGGAGCUGAAAUCAGUCGAAGAUACCAGCUGGCUGCAACUGUUUAUUAAAAACACAGCACUGUGCAAACACGAAAGUGGACGUAUACGGUGUGACGCCUGCCCGGUGCCGGAAGGUUAAUUGAUGGGGUCAGCGCAAGCGAAGCUCUUGAUCGAAGCCCCGGUAAACGGCGGCCGUAACUAUAACGGUCCUAAGGUAGCGAAAUUCCUUGUCGGGUAAGUUCCGACCUGCACGAAUGGCGUAAUGAUGGCCAGGCUGUCUCCACCCGAGACUCAGUGAAAUUGAACUCGCUGUGAAGAUGCAGUGUACCCGCGGCAAGACGGAAAGACCCCGUGAACCUUUACUAUAGCUUGACACUGAACAUUGAGCCUUGAUGUGUAGGAUAGGUGGGAGGCUUUGAAGUGUGGACGCCAGUCUGCAUGGAGCCGACCUUGAAAUACCACCCUUUAAUGUUUGAUGUUCUAACGUGGACCCGUGAUCCGGGUUGCGGACAGUGUCUGGUGGGUAGUUUGACUGGGGCGGUCUCCUCCUAAAGAGUAACGGAGGAGCACGAAGGUUGGCUAAUCCUGGUCGGACAUCAGGAGGUUAGUGCAAUGGCAUAAGCCAGCUUGACUGCGAGCGUGACGGCGCGAGCAGGUGCGAAAGCAGGUCAUAGUGAUCCGGUGGUUCUGAAUGGAAGGGCCAUCGCUCAACGGAUAAAAGGUACUCCGGGGAUAACAGGCUGAUACCGCCCAAGAGUUCAUAUCGACGGCGGUGUUUGGCACCUCGAUGUCGGCUCAUCA